RNAcentral lists this ribosomal RNA (664 nucleotides) under Klebsiella pneumoniae. Its description in RNAcentral is "partial 23S ribosomal RNA". It matches the Rfam family "Bacterial large subunit ribosomal RNA", at positions 317 to 986 of the family's 2925-position model. Lineage: Bacteria; Pseudomonadati; Pseudomonadota; Gammaproteobacteria; Enterobacterales; Enterobacteriaceae. The record is from RNAcentral.
UCAGCUUGUGUGUUAGUGGAACGGUCUGGAAAGUCCGACGGUACAGGGUGAUAGUCCCGUACACCAAAAUGCACAGGCUGUGAACUCGAAGAGUAGGGCGGGACACGUGGUAUCCUGUCUGAAUAUGGGGGGACCAUCCUCCAAGGCUAAAUACUCCUGACUGACCGAUAGUGAACCAGUACCGUGAGGGAAAGGCGAAAAGAACCCCGGCGAGGGGAGUGAAAAAGAACCUGAAACCGUGUACGUACAAGCAGUGGGAGCACCUUCGGGUGUGACUGCGUACCUUUUGUAUAAUGGGUCAGCGACUUAUAUUCUGUAGCAAGGUUAACCGUAUAGGGGAGCCGCAGGGAAACCGAGUCUUAACUGGGCGUUAAGUUGCAGGGUAUAGACCCGAAACCCGGUGAUCUAGCCAUGGGCAGGUUGAAGGUUGGGUAACACUAACUGGAGGACCGAACCGACUAAUGUUGAAAAAUUAGCGGAUGACUUGUGGCUGGGGGUGAAAGGCCAAUCAAACCGGGAGAUAGCUGGUUCUCCCCGAAAGCUAUUUAGGUAGCGCCUCGUGAACUCAUCUUCGGGGGUAGAGCACUGUUUCGGCUAGGGGGUCAUCCCGACUUACCAACCCGAUGCAAACUACGAAUACCGAAGAAUGUUAUCACGGGAGACA